CACGUAGGCGGUAUAUCAAGUUGGGUGUGAAAUUUUAGGGCUUAACCCUGAGAGUGCAUUCAAAACUGAUUAGCUAGAGUACAGUAGAGGAGAGUGGAAUUUUCGGUGUAGUGGUAAAAUACGUAGAUAUCGGAAAGAACACCAGUGGCGAAAGCGACUCUCUGGGCUGUUACUGACGCUGAAGUGCGAAAGCGUGGGGAGCAAACA
This 207-nucleotide ribosomal RNA is filed under the name uncultured bacterium. Its description in RNAcentral is "partial 16S ribosomal RNA". It matches the Rfam family "Bacterial small subunit ribosomal RNA", at positions 568 to 774 of the family's 1533-position model. The record is from RNAcentral.